This 101-nucleotide microRNA precursor is filed under the name Brassica napus (rape). RNAcentral describes it as "pre miRNA MIR477". Lineage: Eukaryota; Viridiplantae; Streptophyta; Magnoliopsida; Brassicales; Brassicaceae. The record is from RNAcentral.
AGAGGCAUCACUGUAACCCUCAAGCUUCAAGCCUUUACCACGCGCAAAGUACAAACCAAGAAUGGUAAAGGCUUGAAGCUUGAGGGUUACAGUGAUGCCUC